AUUGAACGCUGGCGGCAGGCCUAACACAUGCAAGUCGAGCGGAUGAAGGGAGCUUGCUCCUGGAUUCAGCGGCGGACGGGUGAGUAAUGCCUAGGAAUCUGCCUGGUAGUGGGGGAUAACGUCCGGAAACGGGCGCUAAUACCGCAUACGUCCUGAGGGAGAAAGUGGGGGAUCUUCGGACCUCACGCUAUCAGAUGAGCCUAGGUCGGAUUAGCUAGUUGGUGGGGUAAAGGCCUACCAAGGCGACGAUCCGUAACUGGUCUGAGAGGAUGAGCAGUCACACUGGAACUGAGACACGGUCCAGACUCCUACGGGAGGCAGCAGUGGGGAAUAUUGGACAAUGGGCGAAAUCCUGAUCCAGCCAUGCCGCGUGUGUGAAGAAGGUCUUCGGAUUGUAAAGCACUUUAAGUUGGGAGGAAGGGCAGUAAGUUAAUACCUUGCUGUUUUGACGUUACCAACAGAAUAAGCACCGGCUAACUUCGUG
RNAcentral lists this ribosomal RNA (484 nucleotides) under uncultured bacterium. RNAcentral describes it as "partial 16S ribosomal RNA". It matches the Rfam family "Bacterial small subunit ribosomal RNA", at positions 30 to 507 of the family's 1533-position model. The record is from RNAcentral.